Molecule: unclassified non-coding RNA, 520 nt
Filed under: uncultured Glomus
Lineage: Eukaryota; Fungi; Glomeromycota; Glomeromycetes; Glomerales; Glomeraceae
Also listed under: 1 other name
Description: SSU rRNA
Rfam family: Eukaryotic small subunit ribosomal RNA
Source: RNAcentral
CGCAGCCGCGGUAAUUCCAGCUCCAAUAGCGUAUAUUAAAGUUGUUGCAGUUAAAAAGCUCGUAGUUGAAUUUCGGGAUCAAGUCGUCGGUCGUGCUCAGGUACGUACUGGCGUCAUUGAUUUCUCCCUUCUGACGAACCAUGAUGUCAUUAAUUUGGUGUCAUGGGAAAUCAGGACUGUUACUUUGAAAAAAUUAGAGUGUUUAAAGCAGGCUCACGCUUGAAUACAUUAGCAUGGAAUAAUGAAAUAGGACGUUCGAUCCUAUUUUGUUGGUUUUUAGGAUCAACGUAAUGAUUAAUAGGGAUAGUUGGGGGCAUUAGUAUUCAAUUGUCAGAGGUGAAAUUCUUGGAUUUAUUGAAGACUAACUACUGCGAAAGCAUUUGCCAAGGAUGUUUUCAUUAAUCAAGAACGAAAGUUAGGGGAUCGAAGACGAUCAGAUACCGUCGUAGUCUUAACCAUAAACUAUGCCGACUAGGGAUCGGAUGAUGUUAAUUUUUUAAUGACUCAUUCGGCGCCUUAC